GCUGCCCGAACGUGUAAACGCCUUCCAUUCUCUCAAGCACCAACUGUUCGUCGUGGUAAAACAAAAUCGCCGGGAAAAGAGCAGCCAAGGCGCCGCCCAAACUGUGGCCCGUCACUAUAACCUUCGCCUGAGGGUUGUUCUUCAAAAGGUCUUUCAACUUAUCCCUUAUGUCAUAAUAAGCCAAGGGUGCUUUGCGGGUAAGGUCUGGAACCACAAACUUGGGCCAACCCACAAGUUUCUGCAUCCCCAAAGCUUUCAAGAAACCACUGUGAAUCUUCCCAAUGUUGGGGAAUUCGUACCAAGACAGAUCGGCGUCCGAACACCAAUCGUCGGCACUAAACGGUUGUGUUC
Molecule: long non-coding RNA, 351 nt
Filed under: Gossypium barbadense (sea-island cotton)
Lineage: Eukaryota; Viridiplantae; Streptophyta; Magnoliopsida; Malvales; Malvaceae
Description: long non-coding RNA (GBAR_LNC020501)
Source: RNAcentral